Lepisosteus oculatus (spotted gar) is the source of this 119-nucleotide ribosomal RNA. The record is from Ensembl. Lineage: Eukaryota; Metazoa; Chordata; Actinopteri; Semionotiformes; Lepisosteidae.
GCCAGCAGCCAUAUCACCCUGCAACUCACAACUGGCAACCCACUGACUCUAAGCAGGUGUGAGCCUGGUCAGUACCUGGAAGGGAGACCACCUGGGAAAAACUAAGGUUGCUGCUGGAA